This 205-nucleotide long non-coding RNA is filed under the name Brachypodium distachyon (stiff brome). Its description in RNAcentral is "long non-coding RNA (BDIS_LNC005722)". Lineage: Eukaryota; Viridiplantae; Streptophyta; Magnoliopsida; Poales; Poaceae. The record is from RNAcentral.
CCAUCUAUUUGUUGAAAUCUGCCGGAUGCAAACUAAACUUCAAGAGUAACCGACCCGGCCACAAAGUGGUGAUCUUUCAUUUGAUUGAAGAAGAGACAGAGAGGAUCAUCACAUCAUCAGACACUCAAUAGGCAUGGCUGCUGAUGCACUCCACCAGUAAAGAACAGGACAACAUGCUACUACAUGACUAAAGGCAAUGGGAUGC